UAGUCCACGCCGUAAACGAUGGAUGCCAGCUGUCGGACAGUUUACUGUUCGGUGGCGCAGUUAACGCAUUAAGCAUCCCGCCUGGGGAGUACGGUCGCAAGACUAAAACUCAAAGAAGUUGACGGGGGCCCGCACAAGCGGUGGAGCAUGUGGUUUAAUUCGAUGCAACGCGCAGAACCUUACCAGCUCUUGACAUCCCGGUCGCGGUUUUCAGAGAUGAAUUCCUUCAGUUAGGCUGGACCGGUGACAGGUGCUGCAUGGCUGUCGUCAGCUCGUGUCGUGAGAUGUUGGGUUAAGUCCCGCAACGAGCGCAACCCUCGCUUUUAGUUGCCAGCAUUCAGUUGGGCACUCUAAAGGGACUGCCGGUGAUAAGCCGGAGGAAGGUGGGGAUGACGUCAAGUCCUCAUGGCCCUUAUGGGCUGGGGCUACACACGUGCUACAAUGGCGGUGACAAAGGGCAGCUACUCUGCAAGAGAUGCUAACCCCAAAAAGCCGU
This 496-nucleotide ribosomal RNA is filed under the name uncultured bacterium. Its description in RNAcentral is "bacterial SSU rRNA". It matches the Rfam family "Bacterial small subunit ribosomal RNA", at positions 791 to 1286 of the family's 1533-position model. The record is from RNAcentral.